UAGGGAAUCUUCCACAAUGGGCGCAAGCCUGAUGGAGCAACACCGCGUGAGUGAAGAAGGGUUUCGACUCGUAAAGCUCUGUUGUUAAAGAAGAACACGUAUGAGAGUAACUGUUCAUACGUUGACGGUAUUUAACCAGAAAGUCACGGCUAACUACGUACCAG
RNAcentral lists this ribosomal RNA (164 nucleotides) under uncultured bacterium. Its description in RNAcentral is "partial 16S ribosomal RNA". It matches the Rfam family "Bacterial small subunit ribosomal RNA", at positions 355 to 511 of the family's 1533-position model. The record is from RNAcentral.